GACGAACGCUGGCGGCGUGCUUAACACAUGCAAGUCGAACGGUAAGGCCCUUCGGGGUACACGAGUGACGAACGGGUGAGUAACACGUGGGUGAUCUGCCCUGCACUUCGGGAUAAGCCUGGGAAACUGGGUCUAAUACCGGAUAGGACCCUGGGAUGCAUGUCCUGGGGUGGAAAGCUUUUGCGGUGUGGGAUGGGCCUGCGGCCUAUCAGCUUGUUGGUGGGGUGAUGGCCUACCAAGGCAACGACGGGUAGCCGGCCUGAGAGGGUGACCGGCCACACUGGGACGGAGAUACGGCCCAGACUCCUACGGGAGGCAGCAGUGGGGAAUAUUGCACAAUGGGCGCAAGCGUGAUGCAGCGACGCCGCGUGAGGGAUGACGGCCUUCGGGUUGUAAACCUCUUUCAGCACCGACGAAGCGCAAGUGACGGUAGGUGCAGAAGAAGGACCGGCCAACUACGUGCCAGCCGCCGCCGUAA
Molecule: ribosomal RNA, 478 nt
Filed under: uncultured bacterium
Lineage: Bacteria
Description: partial 16S ribosomal RNA
Rfam family: Bacterial small subunit ribosomal RNA
Source: RNAcentral